UACGAAGGGGGCUAGCGUUGUUCGGAAUCACUGGGCGUAAAGCGUAUGUAGGCGGAUUGUUAAGUCAGGGGUGAAAUCCCGAGGCUCAACCUCGGAACUGCCUUUGAUACUGGCUUUCUUGAGUUCGGGAGAGGUGAGUGGAACUCCUAGUGUAGAGGUGAAAUUCGUAGAUAUUAGGAAGAACACCAGUGGCGAAGGCGGCUCACUGGCCCGAUACUGACGCUGAUGUACGAAAGCGUGGGGAGCAAAC
Molecule: ribosomal RNA, 250 nt
Filed under: uncultured bacterium
Lineage: Bacteria
Description: partial 16S ribosomal RNA
Rfam family: Bacterial small subunit ribosomal RNA
Source: RNAcentral